Molecule: ribosomal RNA, 497 nt
Filed under: uncultured bacterium
Lineage: Bacteria
Description: partial 16S ribosomal RNA
Rfam family: Bacterial small subunit ribosomal RNA
Source: RNAcentral
GAUGAACGCUGGCGGCGUGCCUAAUACAUGCAAGUCGAGCGAACAGACGAGGCGCUUGCUCCUCUGACGUUAGCGGCGGACGGGUGAGUAACACGUGGAUAACCUACCUAUCAGACUGGGAUAACUUCGGGAAACCGGAGCUAAUACCGGAUAAUAUAUUGAACCGCAUGGUUCAAUAGUGAAAGACGGUUUUGCUGUCACUUCUAGAUGGAUCCGCGCCGCAUUAGCUAGUUGGUACGGUAACGGCUUACCAAGGCAACGAUGCGUAGCCGACCUGAGAGGGUGAUCGGCCACACUGGAACUGAGACACGGUCCAGACUCCUACGAGAGGCAGCAGUAGGGAAUCUUCCGCAAUGGGCGAAAGCCUGACGGAGCAACGCCGCGUGAGUGAUGAAGGUCUUCGGAGCGUAAAACUCUGUUAUUAGGGAAGAACAAAUGUGUAAGUAACUAUGCACGUCUUGACGGUACCUAAUCAGAAAGCCACGGCUAACUACGUG